CCUACGGGAGGCAGCAGUAGGGAAUUUUCGGCAAUGGGGGGAACCCUGACCGAGCAACGCCGCGUGAACGAAGAAGUUAUUCGUAAUGUAAAGUUCUUUUAACAGGGAAGAAAGAGAAAUUUGACGGUACCUGAAGAAUAAGCUCCGGCUAACUACGUGCCAGCAGCCGCGGUAAUACGUAGGGAGCGAGCGUUAUCCGGAUUUAUUGGGUUUAAAGGGAGCGUAGGCGGAAUGCCAAGUCAGCGGUAAAAUCGCGGGGCUCAACCUCGCUCCGCCGUUGAAACUGGCGUUCUUGAGUGGGCGAGAAGUAUGCGGAAUGCGUGGUGUAGCGGUGAAAUGCAUAGAUAUCACGCAGAACUCCGAUUGCGAAGGCAGCAUACCGGCGCCCAACUGACGCUGAAGCACGAAAGCGUGGGUAUCGAACAGGAUUAGAUACCCUGGUAGUC
This 446-nucleotide ribosomal RNA is filed under the name uncultured bacterium. RNAcentral describes it as "partial 16S ribosomal RNA". It matches the Rfam family "Bacterial small subunit ribosomal RNA", at positions 338 to 795 of the family's 1533-position model. The record is from RNAcentral.